This 88-nucleotide small nucleolar RNA is filed under the name Pogona vitticeps (central bearded dragon). RNAcentral's name for it is "Small nucleolar RNA SNORD11 (ENSPVIG00000001659.1)". It matches the Rfam family "Small nucleolar RNA SNORD11". The record is from Rfam by way of RNAcentral. Lineage: Eukaryota; Metazoa; Chordata; Lepidosauria; Squamata; Agamidae.
GUCAUCAGUGAUGAUUCUUUUCUAAAGUUUGCCUGAUUUCAGCUUGGGAAGAUGAAGGCAACUCCAGUCACUACCUCUUCUGAGAUGC